This 137-nucleotide small nucleolar RNA is filed under the name Drosophila erecta. RNAcentral's name for it is "snoRNA:GG26076". The record is from RNAcentral. Lineage: Eukaryota; Metazoa; Arthropoda; Insecta; Diptera; Drosophilidae.
UGCAUUUACCUGGAGGCUUUGCGUGACCCCAGACGCUUAGCCUAGUCAUAAAUAAAUGCCAGAUAAAGCGCCUGAGUCGGACAUUAUUCCUGCACUGAUUACUCCAGAGCAGGAAUAUCAUAUGGUUCAGGCUACAA